UGCAUUUGUCCUAAGUCAAAGUUUUUAAAGUUUGACCAACUUUGUAGAAAAUAGUAGCAACAUUUAUGAUGUCAAAGUUGUAAUAUUUGAAGAUGGAUCUACUGAUACUAAUUUGAUGUCAUAAAUGCUGCCACCUUUUUUAGAAAGUUGGUCAAACUUUAAAAACUUGGACUUAGGACAAAAGCAA
Brachypodium distachyon (stiff brome) is the source of this 187-nucleotide non-coding RNA. The record is from Rfam. Lineage: Eukaryota; Viridiplantae; Streptophyta; Magnoliopsida; Poales; Poaceae.